GAACGCUGGCGGCGUGCUUAACACAUGCAAGUCGAGCGGAAAGGCCCUUCGGGGUACUCGAGCGGCGAACGGGUGAGUAACACGUGAGUAACCUGCCCCAGGCUUUGGGAUAACCCUCGGAAACGGGGGCUAAUACCGGAUAUUCAUGUCGUGUGGCAUCACAUGGUGUGGAAAGUUUUUCGGCUUGGGAUGGGCUCGCGGCCUAUCAGCUUGUUGGUGGGGUGAUGGCCUACCAAGGCGACGACGGGUAGCCGGCCUGAGAGGGCGACCGGCCACACUGGGACUGAGACACGGCCCAGACUCCUACGGGAGGCAGCAGUGGGGAAUAUUGCACAAUGGGCGGAAGCCUGAUGCAGCGACGCCGCGUGAGGGAUGAAGGCCUUCGGGUUGUAAACCUCUUUCGACAGGGACGAAGCGUGAGUGACGGUACCUGGAGAAGAAGCGCCGGCCAACUACGUGCCAGCAGCCGCGGUAAGACGUAGGGCGCGAGCGUUGUCCGGAUUUAUUGGGCGUAAAGAGCUCGUAGGCGG
RNAcentral lists this ribosomal RNA (530 nucleotides) under Dactylosporangium fulvum. RNAcentral describes it as "bacterial SSU rRNA". It matches the Rfam family "Bacterial small subunit ribosomal RNA", at positions 31 to 578 of the family's 1533-position model. The record is from RNAcentral. Lineage: Bacteria; Bacillati; Actinomycetota; Actinomycetes; Micromonosporales; Micromonosporaceae.